CGGUGUUUAACUGGCGUGAUGUGGGACGUCCUACCGGUGGGCUUAGCCUCGCGAGGGGCGGCCCAACUAAUAUCCCGUCGCGGUGCUCUUUACUGAGUGCCGAGUCGGGCCGGUACGUUUACUUUGAACAAAUUAGAGUGCUUAAAGCAGGCUAUCCUCGCCUGAAUACUGCGUGCAUGGAAUAAUGGAAUAGGACCUCGGUUCUAUUUUGUUGGUUUUCGGAACCCCGAGGUAAUGAUUAAUAGGGACAGAUGGGGGCAUUCGUAUUGCGACGUUAGAGGUGAAAUUCUUGGAUCGUCGCAAGACGGACAGAAGCGAAAGCAUUUGCCAAAAAUGUUUUCAUUAAUCAAGAACGAAAGUUAGAGGUUCGAAGGCGAUCAGAUACCGCCCUAGUUCUAACCAUAAACGAUGCCAGCUAGCGAUCCGCCGAAGUUCCUCCGAUGACUCGGCGGGCAGCUUCCGGGAAACCAAAGCUUUUGGGUUCCGGGGGAAGUAUGGUUGCAAAGCUGAAACUUAAAGGAAUUGACGGAAGGGCACCACCAGGAGUGGAGCCUGCGGCUUAAUUUGACUCAACACGGGAAACCUCACCAGGCCCAGACACCGGAAGGAUUGACAGAUUGAUAGCUCUUUCUUGAUUCGGUGGGUGGUGGUGCAUGGCCGUUCUUAGUUGGUGGAGCGAUUUGUCUGGUUAAUUCCGAUAACGAACGAGACUCUAGCCUGCUAAAUAGGCGUACCUUAUGGUAUCGCGAAGGCCCCCGGCUUCGGCCGGUGGGUUUUUACUACCAACGUACAAACAAAUCUUCUUAGAGGGACAGGCGG
This 819-nucleotide ribosomal RNA is filed under the name uncultured eukaryote. RNAcentral describes it as "SSU rRNA". It matches the Rfam family "Eukaryotic small subunit ribosomal RNA", at positions 629 to 1426 of the family's 1831-position model. The record is from RNAcentral.